Molecule: RNA transcript, 7863 nt
Organism: Pleuronectes platessa (European plaice)
Lineage: Eukaryota; Metazoa; Chordata; Actinopteri; Pleuronectiformes; Pleuronectidae
Exons: 2
Source: RefSeq, a predicted model, not a curated record
GCCGCACAUUGGCAGUUUGUUUAGUUGGUUAACCUCCCGUUUUUGGUUCCUACUGGUUAUAAUGGCACUGGGGCGGAACUAAUUGCCGCCGUCAUAUGUUUCCUACACCACACCUUUAAGCGACGUACCUAGCCAAACAGCGCGAAAGAAGCAGCACAAUCAAUAAGCUAUAAAUUAAAGUUAAAAGUAAAAGCACAUAAGAAGAAGAAGAAAAAACUAUAAAGGACAAGCAAUAAGAUAAGAUUCCCUCAAGUAGUAAGCAGUGGACGAGGUAUGUUUAUCAUUUAUUUAUAUCUAAGAAGAAUGUGAACGAUUUUAUUGUGUUGCUUUCAAUUGCAUGGUUGUGCGUGAUAGUGAUUUGCAUACUAUGUAAAGUUGUGAAUAUGUUUAUGUAAGUUAAUUUUGUAAAUGUGCAAGUUAAUAUUGAGCUGCGGGCUGUAUGUGAGGUGUGUGUGAAGUGUUUUUUGGUGUAAUGUAACACCUGUUGUGCUGCUGUAAAAACGGACAUUUGCAUAUUGUGAAUUUGUAUUUAUUUUCAUUUAUUUUUCUCUCUAAACCCAGUUCUCACGGGUUGGUUCGACCUGGAAAUAAAACCCCGUUUUCUAACAAAGACCUCUGGCCUCGUGUGAACUACUUGGGAGCUACAGUGAGAACUCGACUGCUCUGCAUGAGUAGCCGAGGAAGACGCAACCAGACAGCAGCGGCCAUCUCCAUGCCGCGUGUGUAUCCUUUACCACCAGGACGGCGUGAACAUGGCUGCAAAUAAAAGACUUAAGUGUUUUGCACUGAGAGACUGAGAUCAUUUGUGCAUUUUUCAGUACAGUUUAUUUAAACCAUUGACUUUAAGUGCACAAGAGACUGAAACUUUAUUUUCAUUUUCAUAUAACAAGUUGAUGUUUACCUACCUUUUAUUUGAUUAUUUGAAGCGCAUUGAUACUCACAUUGUGUUGAUAUUGAGAUUGUGUAUAUUGGUGGUUACACUGUAAAAUUUCUGUUAAACCAAUGACACUAAAUUAAGAGACAACUGUAUUACUGUGAAUUUAAAAGUGUAUUGCUGUUACUUAGCAAGUGUUUAAUAUGUCUGUAGCUUACCUUUUGAAAGAGGCAAUGUCUUUGUGUUUAUUUUUCACUCUGAGUGAUUUAAGUUAAACACAGCUGUAAACAAAUACCUAAAAAAUAUUGUAAGCUACCCUGAACCCAACUUUACUACUGAGUUAAUUACUAAGCUAAAGAUAAUUUUGGAUUUAAACCAAACUAAAGUAACCCAAGUAAAAUGUCAGAGUUUGAGCUAGCCCCUGAGAGUGACGAAGAACGUGUCAGUGAUGAUGACAUGAAGCAGCACUGCACAGAAGCACAACCACAAACGACCGAAGGCACUGAAGCUGAUAACCCCACUACCUCACAAGAGCCACAAAGAGGCCAAAGAGUUCGUAAAUUGACGGAGAAGGGCCAAGAACUGCACGAUGAGCAAGUAAGAAAGGUUGCACACCGUUUCAGCCUGAGCUACGAGAAGUGGAAGACUAUCAUUAAGGACGCCAAAGGUACGCUGAGUGGUCAAUGCUCAAACAACCUGCUGCAUGAACACAUUACCAAGGUCAGCAAUGCCUCAAAUAAUCUAAAUGAUGUUUAUGAAGAGCUAAGACACAUCAAAAUUCCAGACCAAGACACACGUCGCAGAGUAGACACCUGUGAAGCAGUAACAAAGAAGAUAAUCAAAACUGCAAGAGGUUAUCUAAAAACUGAAAGGGGUGAAUGUCAAGUGGAUGAUAAACAAGGUGUUGAAGAAACAGGAUCUGUGAGCAAGUCUGUAGUCUCAGAUAAUAUAAGCAUUAAGUCUCAACACACCAAGUCCUCCAAGUUCUCUGCCCAAAGCUCUCGAAGCAGCUCAAAAAUCACAUCCAGACGUUCAAGUCAGUCUUCUUCACACAGGCAAUACGCCGCUGCCGAAGCUGCUGCCAAUGAAGCCGAAUUUCAAGUUCUGCUCGAAAAGGAACGACAUAUCGAAGAACUUGAAAAACUUGAAGCCGAAGAAUCAGAGAGGAAGAGGGUUCUUGAAGCCGAAGAAUCAGAGAGGAAGAGGGUUCUUGAAGCCGAAGAAUCAGAAAGGAAGAGGGUUCUAGAGGCCAAGCGCAGGCAAAUAGAGCGAAUGGAUACAUUAAAGAAUCUAAAGGCUGCCAAGGCCCGACUGCAAGUAUAUGAGCAGAAUGAAGGCUCAGAUGAAGAAGUGGAACCGCUGCUCCAUCAACAUGUCCCCUUGAAGGAGGAAAGGAAGGAGGUCAAACAGGAACGUAACCUGUCAAAGCAUCACCCUCAACCACAAGCUAUGCCACUUCUGAACAAAGAAGAUACCACUGCAGCCCUCGUGAAAGUGUUUGCAGACUCCAUCAGCGCGAGUCGUCUUCCCAUACCUGAACCAUCAAUGUUCAACGGCGAUCCACUCAGAUUCAACGACUGGAAGGUUUCAUUUAAGACACUUAUUGACCGGAAAAACAUACCAGGUGACGAGAAGAUAUAUUACUUGCGAAGGUAUGUGGGUGGAGUUGCAAAAAGGGCCAUAGAGAGUAAUUUCCUUCUAGGCACAGAGUCCGCCUAUUGCGCAGCGUGGACCAUCUUAGAAGAGAGAUAUGGCAAUCCAUUCCUCAUAGCCAAAGCCUUCAGAGACAAGCUUGAUUCAUGGCCCAAGAUAAGCUCCAAAGGAAGCUCAGAACUCCGAGAACUUGCUGACUUCCUCCGUGGCUGUGAAGCCGCCAUGUCUCAGAUUGAGGGUCUUGAGAUACUCAAUGACUGCAAUGAAAAUCAGAAAAUACUUGCUAAACUUCCAGACUGGCUGAGCUCAAGAUGGAAUAGGAAGGUUAUGGAAGAGGAAGAACAUAGUCGCAGGUACCCAAGCUUCAGUCAGUUUGUCAUGUUCGUUACACGUGAAGCAAAAAUCGCUUGCAACCCGAUAUCAUCCCUCCACGCUCUAAAACCAGUUGAAUGUGAGAAGAGCAAGGAUCCAAGGAACAGAGGUCCUGGAGCAAAGGUAUUGGCGACAAAUUCAGACGAAAAGGCUGCCGCCACAAGCUGUGUGUUCUGUGAAAGGACAGGGCACAGUCUUCACCAGUGUUAUAAAUUCAAAGAUGAAACCGUCUCUGACCGGGUCAAGUUUGUGCAAGAAAAUAAGUUGUGCUUUGGCUGUCUGAAGUCUGGCCACCGCUCAAAGGACUGCGAAAACAGAAUGAUCUGCAAAACGUGUGAGAAAAAACACCCGACUUGCCUCCAUGAUAAUCGCACCAAGGAAGGAAGGAGGUCAACAAUGCCUGAUGCAGCAAGAGACAUGUCAAAUGGACGCAAAAUUGAACGGUCACAGGAUAGGGCAACAAGAACCUCACUUGAAGCAACAUCCAAUAGAGUCCUCCAGCAUGUCAAAGGCACUCAUACAUCCACCAUCAUCCCAGUGUGGGUGUCGGCCUCAAGUGAGCCUGAUCGUGAAGUUCUUGUGUAUGCACUUCUUGAUACACAGAGUGACACAACCUUUCUCCUGGACGACACUGCAAAGGCUCUACAUGCGAAGAACGAACCAGUUCAGCUAAAACUCUCAACAAUGGCUUCAAGAAACACUGUUGUGUCCUGUAGGAAACUGACUGGUCUGCAAGUAAGAGGAAUGCAUUCGGACAAGAUAAUUCCCCUGCCAGUGACCUAUACAAGAGAAUUCAUACCUGCAAACAGAGAUCAUAUUCCCACACCAGAGACGGCGAAAGUAUGGCCACAUCUCGAACACAUCGCAGAUGAGAUAGCUCCGCACCAAAGCUGCGACGUAGGCUUGCUAAUUGGCUACAACUGUACUCAAGCACUCGUCCCAAGACAAGUGGUUUCUGGGGAAGAAAAUCAGCCCUUUGCACUGAGAACUGACUUGGGCUGGAGUGUAGUUGGCUACGGCAACCUAUCACUCGACUAUGGAGACGCGAUUGGAGUGAGUCACCAGGUCAUCGUUAAGCAAGUGAUACCAGGUAAUCCAUCCUUUUCAAACCUCACAAGCGAAGUGCACUACGUCUGUAGAACACAAAUCCAGGAAGUUGUCUCGCCUUCAGCUGUCAUCAAGGUGCUGGAAUCUGACUUUGUGGAAAAAGCUUCAGAGGACGGCAACAUAUCUCAAGAAGACCUCAGAUUCCUGUCAAGGAUGGAAAAAGGCAUCAGGCUCAAGGAGGAUGGUCAUUACGAAAUGCCACUGCCAUUCAAGAAAGACAGACCUAACUUACCAGAUAACAAGAUAUGUGCUAUCCACCGUCUCAGAUGCCUAGAAAGGAAGCUGAAGAGAAACAAGCAGUACUACCAAGACUACAAGACCUUCAUGGACGAGACCAUAACCCGUGGAGAUGCAGAAAAGGUCCCACAAGAAGAUAUCAGCAAAGCCCCAGCAUGGUACAUUCCCCACCACGGGGUGUAUCAUCCGCAAAAGCCUGGGAAAAUUCGAGUCGUCUUUGACUGCUCUGCAAGAUUUAAAGAGACAUGCCUGAAUGAUCAUCUCCUGACAGGCCCAGAGUUGACAAACACCUUGAUCGGAGUCCUCUGUCGGUUUCGUCGAGGUCCUGUGGCAAUCAUGUGCGAUAUUGAGCGCAUGUUUCACCAGUUCCACGUGAAUGCAGAAGAUCAAGAUUACCUACGUUUCCUAUGGUGGGAGAAUGGAAAUCUCGAAGCAGAACCCUCCAUCUACCGGAUGAAAGUCCACCUGUUUGGUGCAGCCUCCUCACCUGGCUGCGCCAACUUUGGACUCAAACACCUCGCUGCUGAAGGACGUGGACGCUUCAGUGAAGACACCAUCCGCUUCAUCCAGAAUAAUUUCUAUGUUGAUGAUGGGUUGGCAAGUGUAACAUCUGAAAGGCAAGCGAUCCAACUAGUGAAAGAGGCAAGAGAACUAUGUAGCACAGGCAAACUCCGGCUGCAUAAGUUCAUCUCUACCAGCAAGGAAGUCCUAGCCACAAUCCCUAAAGAGGAAUGUGCUAAAGUUGCCAAGGACUUGGACAUGGCACUCGGAGAGCAACACAUGGAUAGAGCACUCGGUGUUCAGUGGUACGUGUCUUCUGACCAGUUCCAGUUCAGAGUGCUUGUCAAAGAAAAUCCAUUUACCCGAAGAGGAGUCUUGUCCACGGUUGCCUCAGUAUAUGACCCGCUUGGGUUCGUGGCACCCUUCAUCCUGGUUGGAAAGCAGAUACUGCAGCAGAUGUGUCGUGACAAGCUCAGUUGGGAUGACCCCUUGCCUGAUGACCUUCGACCCUUGUGGGAAUAUUGGCUCAAAGACCUGAAAAACCUGGCUGGUGUGAAGAUCCAGAGAUGCUACACUCCACCAAGCUUCAACGUCCAGCACUAUGAGCUCCACCAUUUUUCGGACGCCAGUAUGUCAGGCUACGGAGAGUGCUCAUACCUCAGAGCGGUCAGUACAUCAGGUGAAGUCCACUGUACCUUAGUCAUGGGAAAGUCAAGAGUCACCCCUUCUAAGGUCACGACCAUACCAAGACUAGAGCUGUCAGCAGCAGUGGUAGCUGUCCGCAUCAGUGACCUGCUCAAGAAAGAGCUCGAAGUAGAAUGCCUACAAGAAGUAUUUUGGACUGAUUCUAUGGUUGUACUUGGAUACAUCAGUAAUGAAGCCAGAAGAUUUCAUGUGUUCGUAGCAAACCGUGUAGAACGCAUCAAGCGAAGCACAGAGUCAGCGCAGUGGAGGUAUGUGACUACUGAGGAGAACCCAGCAGAUCACGCCUCAAGAGGUCUCACGGCAGAACAGCUUGUAGCCUCUAACUGGUUCACAGGCCCAGCCUUUCUGUGGCAGAAAGAGCUACCAAGUGGAGAUGUAAAGGUGGGAGAUAUCUCAAUUAGUGACCCAGAGCUCAAGAAGGCCCAGGUUCAUGAUACUCAGGCAAAGGAGGUGAGGUCGCUUUUAGAUCGCCUACACAAGUUCUCAGACUGGUUAAGAGUGGUAAAAGCUAUUGCCAGGCUCCAGCGCCGUGCAAAGGAGGUCAAAGGUCUCGAGCCGAAGUCCUGUGAAGCCAGCAGUCUAGAGGAAAGAAGAGAAGCAGAGAUGACCAUAAUCAAGAUGGUUCAACAUGCAACCCUAUCUCAAGAAGUCCAGUGCCUCCAGCAUCACAAGGAGAUAGGUCGCAAGUCCAAGUUGAACAAGCUAAGUCCAUUCCUGGAUAACAAAGGAAUCAUCAGAGUGGGAGGCCGCUUAACUCAUGCUGCCCUACAUCCACAUGUGAAGCAUCCAGCAGUUCUUACAAAGGACAGUCAUGUGUCAGCAUUGUUGGUCAAGCACUAUCACGAGAGAGUGCACCAUCAGGGCCGAGGAAUGACUAUGAACGAGCUCCGCUCGAAUGGCAUAUGGAUCCUUGGAUGCAGCAAGACAGUGUCAUCCCAUAUUUACAAGUGCACUAAGUGCAGGAAGUUCAGAAGAGGCACUGAACAACAAAAGAUGGCAGACCUCCCGGAAGAUAGGAUGGACACUACUCCUCCGUUCACUUACUGCGGGAUGGACUGCUUUGGACCAUUCCACAUCAAAGAAGGAAGGAAAGAGCUAAAGCGUUACGGGCUAUUACUUACCUGCAUGUGUUCUAGAGCAGUACACAUAGAGAUGCUUGAUAGCAUGACCACCGAUGCCUUCAUUAACGCUCUGCGCUCCUUCAUCGCUAUUCGGGGAAUGGUACGGCAGAUAAGAUGUGAUAGAGGGACAAACUUCGCUGGUGCAAGGCGUGAGUUUGAUGAGGCAUUGAGAGAGAUGGAUCAAGAGGAGCUCAAGGAACUGGGAUGUGAGUUCAUCAUGAACACCCCAGCUUCAAGUCACAUGGGUGGUGUCUGGGAAAGACAAAUCCGCACCAUCAGGAGUGUUUUGACGUCUAUUCUAGAACAGUCAGCCAAACAACUUGACUGUUCCUCUCUACGAACAUUCUUAUACGAAGUCAUGGCGAUCGUGAAUAGUCGACCUCUGACUACUGAUAACCUGAAUGAUUCAUCUAGUCCAGAGCCUUUGACACCGAACCACAUACUGACCAUGAAGUCUACGAUUAUAUCCCCUCCUCCUGGAAAGUUCGUUAAGGAAGAUAUUUACAUCCGCAAGAGAUGGCGUCGGGUUCAACUCCUAGCCAACAACUUCUGGUCACGAUGGAAGAAGGAGUACCUCUUAAAUCUCCAGCACAGACAGAAGUGGGUCAAAGACUGCAGAAACGCGAAGGUUGAUGACAUCGUUCUACUAAAGGAUGAGCUGACGCCGAGAAACCAGUGGAAGUUAGCUAAGAUUAUCGAAGUCUAUCCCGGGAAGGAUGAGAGAGUAAGGAAGCUCAAGCUGCUCAUCGGCGACUCAACUCUGGAUGUAAUGGGAAGGCGCACCUCCAAGCCGGUUCACCUCGAGAGACCCAUUCAUAAAACAGUCACACUGUUGGAAGCAGACUGAAGACCACAGGGUUUUAAGCCUACUCUGUUUAUUAGUGACCAAAUUUACUUUAUUUGAUGUUUUAUAUGCAGUAUAUGUCCUUAAGAUGUUUAAGUAAUCACAAGUGAUUGGUGGGAGUGUAACUGCCGCACAUUGGCAGUUUGUUUAGUUGGUUAACCUCCCGUUUUUGGUUCCUACUGGUUAUAAUGGCACUGGGGCGGAACUAAUUGCCGCCGUCAUAUGUUUCCUACACCACACCUUUAAGCGACGUACCUAGCCAAACAGCGCGAAAGAAGCAGCACAAUCAAUAAGCUAUAAAUUAAAGUUAAAAGUAAAAGCACAUAAGAAGAAGAAGAAAAAACUAUAAAGGACAAGCAAUAAGAUAAGAUUCCCUCAAGUAGUAAGCAGUGGACGAGUUCUCACGGGUUGGUUCGACCUGGAAAUAAAACCCCGUUUUCUAACAAAGA